AGCCUGAACGCUGGCGGCGUGGCUAAGACAUGCAAGUCGCACGGUGUAGCAAUACACAGUGGCGAACGGGUGAGUAAUGAAUCGCUAAUGUACCCCGGACUCUGGGAUAGCUACCCGAAAGGGUAGGUAAUACCAGAUGAGACCCCGAUCAGGCAUCUGAUUGUGCUCAAAGGUCCGCCGGUCUGGGAGCAGGCGAUUUCGUAUCAGCUAGUUGGUGAGGUAAUGGCUCACCAAGGCGACGACGCGUAGCCGGACUGAGAGGUUGGCCGGCCACAUUGGGACUGAGACACUGCCCAGACUCCUACGGGGGGCUGCAGUAACGAAUCUUCCGCAAUGCACGAAAGUGUGACGGAGCGACGCCGCGUGUAGGACGAAGGCCCGUUCGGGGUGUUAAACCGUACUGUACGAAGGGUUAGAAAGUUCUGAUCAACCCCAGAGGAAGGCACGGCUAACUCUGUGCAGCAGCCGC
RNAcentral lists this ribosomal RNA (469 nucleotides) under uncultured soil bacterium. RNAcentral's name for it is "bacterial SSU rRNA". It matches the Rfam family "Bacterial small subunit ribosomal RNA", at positions 26 to 518 of the family's 1533-position model. The record is from RNAcentral.